GCCGCCGCGGUAAGACGUAGGACGCGAGCGUUUCCGGAAUUACUGGGCGUAAAGGGCCAGCAGGCGGCUUGGUAAGUUGUGCGUGAAAGCCUCGUGCUCAACGCGAGGAAGCCGGACAAUACUGUCAAGCUAGAGGGCAUCAGAGGGGAGUGGAACUCCCGGAGUAGCGGUAAAAUGCGCAGGUAUCGGGAGGAACACCGAUGGCGAAGGCAGCUCCCUGGGAUGCACCUGACGCUAAGAGGCGAAAGCUAGGGGAGCGAACAGGAUUAGAGACCCUGGUAGUCCUAGCUGUAAACGCUGGGUGCUAGGUGUGGGACGUAGAAGUUCCGUGCCGGAGCAAACGCGAUAAGCACCCCGCCUGGGAAUUACGGUCGCAAGGCUAAAACUCAAACGAAUUGACGGGGCCCCGCACAAGCAGCGGAGCGUGUGGUUCAAUUCGAUGCUACACGAAGAACCUUACCUGGGUUUGACAUGUACGUGGUACGAAGGCGAAAGCCUAAGGACCCUUCGGGGAGCGUACACAGGUGCUGCAUGGCUGUCGUCAGCUCGUGCCGUGAGGUGUCGGGUUAAGUCCCGUAACGAGCGCAACCCUUGCCCUUAGUUACAAGUGUCUAAGGGGACUGCCGGCGGGAAGCCGGAGGAAGGUGGGGAUGACGUCAAGUCAGCAUGGCCCUUAUGUCCAGNGCUACACACACGCUACAAUGGUCAGUACAAAGGGUAGCGAAGUCGCGAGGCGGAGCGAAUCUCAACAAAGCUGAUCGUAGUUCGGAUUGCAGGCUGCAACCCGCCUGCAUGAAGCUGGAGUUGCUAGUAACCGCGCGUCAGCCAUAGUGCGGUGAAUACGUACCACGGGGC
RNAcentral lists this ribosomal RNA (855 nucleotides) under uncultured Chloroflexota bacterium. Its description in RNAcentral is "bacterial SSU rRNA". It matches the Rfam family "Bacterial small subunit ribosomal RNA", at positions 511 to 1380 of the family's 1533-position model. Lineage: Bacteria; Bacillati; Chloroflexota. The record is from RNAcentral.